UCGCUUGAAAAUGUAUGGUUGUUAGCUUGCCUGGCGUCAAUAUGGCAGCAGUGCAGAGCCACGUCUCCACCGGAAGUACAGCGCGGGACCAACCCACACUGCAAAACUGUGACGUGUGCCUUCGUACUCCGUUGAUCCUUGCACUGACAAACGACUAAGGUCAAUCCAAACUGUACAGGGCCUUCAAAAUCAGUAGUGCCGGCUUCUUCACCCCUGAGCCCUCCUCUCAGUGGGACGUGCCUGGAACACCUCACCAGGGAGGCCUCCUAUUGAGAUGCCCAAGCCUGGCUCGUCUUGAUGUGGAUGAGCAGUGGCUUGACUCUGAGGCCCUCCAAAAUGACCAGGCUUUUCACUUAUCUAUUUAGGACAACCCGCACACCUUGGAAAACUCGUUCCCGCCGCUUAUAUCUGCUUAUAUCGGCGAUCUUGGUCUUUCACGGUCCCGAACUUGUGAGGAUCAAUUCAGCGAUCUCCUGGUUCAUUCUUUCUUCACUCAUGAACGAUACCCCAAGAUACUUGAAUUCCACCACAUGGGGCAGCAUCUCAUCCCUGACCUGCAGAGACCACCCCACACCUUUUAACUGAUUACCAUGGUGUCU
Molecule: long non-coding RNA, 599 nt
Organism: Hippocampus zosterae (dwarf seahorse)
Lineage: Eukaryota; Metazoa; Chordata; Actinopteri; Syngnathiformes; Syngnathidae
Exons: 3
Source: RefSeq, a predicted model, not a curated record